This 430-nucleotide ribosomal RNA is filed under the name uncultured delta proteobacterium. RNAcentral describes it as "bacterial SSU rRNA". It matches the Rfam family "Bacterial small subunit ribosomal RNA", at positions 355 to 776 of the family's 1533-position model. Lineage: Bacteria; Deltaproteobacteria. The record is from RNAcentral.
UGGGGAAUCUUGCGCAAUGGGGGAAACCCUGACGCAGCAACGCCGCGUGAGUGACGAAGGCCUUCGGGUCGUAAAGCUCUGUCAGAUGGAAAGAAUUAACGUGCUGAAAAUAUUGGCACGUGAUGACGGUACCAUCAGAGGAAGCACCGGCUAACUCCGUGCCAGCAGCCGCGGUAAUACGGAGGGUGCAAGCGUUGUUCGGAAUUAUUGGGCGUAAAGCGCGUGUAGGCGGGAAGACAGGUCAGGUGUGAAAUCCCUUGGCCUAACCAAGGAACUGCAUCUGAAACCAUUUUCCUCGAGUACGAUAGGGGAUGGCGGAAUUCCCAGUGUAGAGGUGAAAUUCAUAGAUAUUGGGAGGAACACCAGUGGCGAAGGCGACCAUCUGGAUCGAUACUGACGCUGAGACGCGAAAGCGUGGGUAGCAAACAGG